UACGUAGGGUGCGAGCGUUGCCCGGAUUUAUUGGGCGUAAAGGGCGCGUAGGCGGCUCUGCACGUUCGUUGUGAAAUCGCCCGGCUCAACUGGGCGGGGUCAGCGGAUACGGCAGAGCUUGAGCAAGCUAGGGGGCAAUGGAAUUCCCGGUGUAGUGGUGGAAUGCGUAGAUAUUGGGAAGAACACCGGUGGCGAAGGCGGCGACCUGGUCCGUGACUGACGCUGAGGCGCGAAAGCGUGGGGAGCAAACAGG
RNAcentral lists this ribosomal RNA (253 nucleotides) under uncultured bacterium. Its description in RNAcentral is "partial 16S ribosomal RNA". It matches the Rfam family "Bacterial small subunit ribosomal RNA", at positions 524 to 776 of the family's 1533-position model. The record is from RNAcentral.